Molecule: ribosomal RNA, 455 nt
Filed under: uncultured bacterium
Lineage: Bacteria
Description: bacterial SSU rRNA
Rfam family: Bacterial small subunit ribosomal RNA
Source: RNAcentral
UACGGAAGGCAGCAGUGGGGAAUAUUGCACAAUGGGCGCAAGCCUGAUGCAGCCAUGCCGCGUGUAUGAAGAAGGCCUUCGGGUUGUAAAGUACUUUCAGUCGUGAGGAAGGUGUUAAGGUUAAUAACCUUAGCAAUUGACGUUAGCGACAGAAGAAGCACCGGCUAACUCCGUGCCAGCAGCCGCGGUAAUACGGAGGGUGCGAGCGUUAAUCGGAAUUACUGGGCGUAAAGGGCACGCAGGCGGUUAAUUAAGUUGGAUGUGAAAUCCCCGGGCUUAACCUGGGAAUGGCAUUCAAGACUGGUUAGCUAGAGUCUUGUAGAGGGGGUAGAAUUCCAUGUGUAGCGGUGAAAUGCGUAGAGAUGUGGAGGAAUACCGGGUGGCGAAGGCGGCCCCUGGGACAAAGGACUGACGCUCAUGUGCGAAAGCGUGGGGAGCAAACAGGAUUAGAUACC